GGAUUAGAUACCCUGGUAGUCCACGCUGUAAACGAUGUGCACUAGGUGUUGGCUGUUGUAACGGUCAGUGCCGAAGCAAACGCGAUAAGUGCACCGCCUGGGGAGUAUGCUCGCAAGGGUGAAACUCAAAGGAAUUGACGGGGGCCCGCACAAGCGGUGGAGCAUGUGGUUUAAUUCGACGAUACGCGAGGAACCUUACCAGGGCUUGACAUAUACAUGGCGAUCAUAGAGAUAUGGUUUCCCUUCGGGGCGUGUAUACAGGUGCUGCAUGGUUGUCGUCAGCUCGUGCCG
This 291-nucleotide ribosomal RNA is filed under the name uncultured bacterium. Its description in RNAcentral is "partial 16S ribosomal RNA". It matches the Rfam family "Bacterial small subunit ribosomal RNA", at positions 775 to 1067 of the family's 1533-position model. The record is from RNAcentral.